RNAcentral lists this ribosomal RNA (173 nucleotides) under Sphingomonas sp. enrichment culture. RNAcentral's name for it is "partial 16S ribosomal RNA". It matches the Rfam family "Bacterial small subunit ribosomal RNA", at positions 337 to 529 of the family's 1533-position model. Lineage: Bacteria; Pseudomonadati; Pseudomonadota; Alphaproteobacteria; Sphingomonadales; Sphingomonadaceae. The record is from RNAcentral.
UCCUACGGGAGGCAGCAGUAGGGAAUAUUGGACAAUGGGCGAAAGCCUGAUCCAGCAAUGCCGCGUGAGUGAUGAAGGCCUUAGGGUUGUAAAGCUCUUUUACCCGGGAUGAUAAUGACAGUACCGGGAGAAUAAGCCCCGGCUAACUCCGUGCCAGCAGCCGCGGUAAUAGA